UACAGAGGUGGCAAGCGUUGUUCGGAAUUACUGGGCGUAAAGCGCGCGUAGGCGGCCAUCUAAGUCAGACGUGAAAUCCCCCGGCUUAACCUGGGAACUGCGUCUGAUACUGGAAGGCUUGAGUAUGGGAGAGGGAUGUAGAAUUCCAGGUGUAGCGGUGAAAUGCGUAGAUAUCUGGAGGAAUACCGGUGGCGAAGGCGGCAGCCUGGACCAUUACUGACGCUGAGGCGCGAAAGCUAGGGGAGCAAACGGG
RNAcentral lists this ribosomal RNA (253 nucleotides) under uncultured bacterium. RNAcentral describes it as "partial 16S ribosomal RNA". It matches the Rfam family "Bacterial small subunit ribosomal RNA", at positions 524 to 776 of the family's 1533-position model. The record is from RNAcentral.